Molecule: ribosomal RNA, 253 nt
Filed under: uncultured bacterium
Lineage: Bacteria
Description: partial 16S ribosomal RNA
Rfam family: Bacterial small subunit ribosomal RNA
Source: RNAcentral
UACAGAGGGUGCAAGCGUUAAUCGGAAUUACUGGGCGUAAAGCGCGCGUAGGUGGUUUGUUAAGUUGGAUGUGAAAUCCCCGGGCUCAACCUGGGAACUGCAUCCAAAACUGGCAAGCUAGAGUAUGGUAGAGGGUGGUGGAAUUUCCUGUGUAGCGGUGAAAUGCGUAGAUAUAGGAAGGAACACCAGUGGCGAAGGCGACCACCUGGACUGAUACUGACACUGAGGUGCGAAAGCGUGGGGAUCAAACAGG